This 620-nucleotide ribosomal RNA is filed under the name uncultured organism. RNAcentral's name for it is "bacterial SSU rRNA". It matches the Rfam family "Bacterial small subunit ribosomal RNA", at positions 894 to 1510 of the family's 1533-position model. The record is from RNAcentral.
GUGAAACUCAAAGGAAUUGACGGGGCCCGCACAAGCAGUGAAGCAUGUUGUUCAAUUCGAUGAUACGCGAGGAACCUUACCAGGUCUUGACAUAUACCUGACGCACAUAGAAAUAUGUGUUUCCUUCGGGACAGGUAUACAGGUGCUGCAUGGUUGUCGUCAGCUCGUGCCGUGAGGUGUUGGGUUAAGUCCCGUAACGAGCGCAACCCCUAUUCUUUGUUGCUAACAGUUUAAGCAGAGCACUCGGAGGAAACUGCCGGUGACAAACCGGAGGAAGGUGGGGAUGACGUCAAAUCAUCACGGCCCUUAUGACCUGGGUUACAAACGUGCUACAAUGGACGGUACAAAGAGUUGCGAGACCGCGAGGUGGAGCUAAUCUCAAAAAAGCGUCCUCAGUUCGGAUUGGAGUCUGAAACCCGACUCUAUGAAGCUGGAAUUGCUAGUAAUCGCACAUCAUAAUGGUGCGGUGAAUAUGUUCCCGGGCCUUGUACACACCGCCCGUCACAUCACCCGAGUUAAAUAUACCCGAAGUAUCCGAGCUAACGGCAUUUUGCCGGGGCAGGGUCCUAAGGUAUGUUCGGCAAGGGGGAUGAAGUCGUAACAAGGUAACCAAGGGCGAA